Long non-coding RNA from Peromyscus californicus insignis, 2070 nucleotides. RefSeq lists it as uncharacterized. Lineage: Eukaryota; Metazoa; Chordata; Mammalia; Rodentia; Cricetidae. The transcript is spliced from 2 exons. The record is from RefSeq and is a predicted model, not a curated record.
GCAAUCUACAGAUUCAAUGCAACCCCCAUCAAAAUCUCAACACAAUUCUUCACAGAACUGAAAAAUGGAAAAACUUAAAACCCAGGAUAGCCAAAACAAUCCUGUACAAUUCAGGAACUUCUGGAAGUAUCACCAUCCCUAACCUCAAGCUCUACUAUAGAACUACAGUAAUAAAAACGGUUUGGUUGGCAUUAAAAACAGACAGGUGGAUCAAUGGAAUCGAAUCAAAGACUCCAGUAUAAAUCCACACACCCAAGAUCACCUGAUUUUUGACAAAGAAGCCAAAAAUAAACAAUGGAAAAAAGAGAAUGUUCAACAGAAGUUGGUGGUAUAACUGGAUGUCAACAUGUCAAAGACUGCAAAUAUCUCCAUAUCUAUCAUCAAUCAGAAAACUCAAGUCCAAGUAGAUCAAAGACCUCAACAUAAAUCCAGCUACACUGAUCCUGAUAGCAAAGAAAGUGGGAUGUAGCUUUGAACGCAUUGACGCAGAAGACCACUUCCUAGAUAUAACACCACCAGCACAGACACUGAGAUCAACGAUUAAUAAAUGGGACCUCCCAAAACUGAAAAGCUUCUAUAAGGCAAAGGAUAUGGCAAAUAAGACAAAAAGGCACCCUAGAGACUGGGAAAACAUCUUCUCCAACCCCACAUCUGACAGGAAACGGAUUUCCAAAAUACAUAUAAAAAAUAACUUAAGAAACUAGACAUCAAAAUACCAAAUAAUCCCAUUUAAAAAUAGGUUCCAGAUUUAAACAGAGAAUUCUCAAAAGAAGAAUCUCAAAUGGCUGAGAUACACUUAAAGAAUUGCUCAACAUCCUUAGCCAUCGGGGAAAUGCAAAUCAAAAUGACUCUGAGACACCAUCUUAUACCAGACAGAAUGGCUAAGUACAAAAAUGUUAAUGACAGCCUAUGUUGGAGAGGAUGUGGAAUAAGUGGGACACUACUCCACUGAUGGUGGGAGUGCAAAUUUGUACAACCAUUUUGGAAAUUAGUAUGGCAUUUUCUCAGAAAAUUGGGAAUCAAUCUACCUCAAGACCCAGCAAUACCACUCUUAGGCAUACCCCCAAAGAAUAUUCAAUCAUACUACAAGGACACUUGCUCAACUAUGUUCAUAGCAGCAUUAUUUGUAAUAGUCAGAACCUGGAAACAACUUAGUUGCCUCUCCACUGAAAAAUGGAUAAAGAAAAUUUGGUACAUCUACACAAAGAAGUAUUAAUCAGCAGUGAAAAAUAAUGGCAUCAUGAAAUUUGCAGUCAAAUGGAUGUAAUUAGAAAAAAAAAUCAUCCUUAGAGAAGUGACCCAGACACAGAAAGACAAACACGGAAUGUGCUCACUCUUAAGUGGAUAUUACAUGUAAAGCAAAGGAUAACCAGGCUAUGAUCCUCAGCCCCUGAGAAGCUAGGUAACAAGGAGGACCCUAAGGGAGAUGCAUAGAACUCCCUGGAAAGAGAAAAUAGAUGAGAUGUCCUAGGUAAACUGGGGGUGGGGUAGAGGGGCAGGGAUGGGAACAUGAAGGAUCAGGAUGGUCAAUCAAUUUGGGGGCAAGGUGUAGGGAGAGAUUAAUGAAAGAGAUAUCUUGAUAAAAAGGGAGCAUUAUGGGUUUAGGGAGAACCUGGUGCUAGGGAAAUUCCUAGGAAACCACAAGAAUGACCCCAGCUAAGACUCCUAGCAGUAGUGGAGAGGGUGCCUGCACUGGCCUUGCUUGGUAUUCAGAUUGUUGAUUAUCCUAAUUGUCACCAUAGAGCCUUCAUCCAGUAACAGAUGGAAGCAGAUGCAGAGAUCCACAGCCAAGCACUGGGCUGAGCUCUGGGAGUCCAGUUGAAGAGAGAUCAACUUUUUUGGUGACAGCUGCAUAUGAGAUAAGACAAAGAAUCAGGGAAAAUAUCAGACAUUGGAAGAGACAGGAGCCCUUCAUCCAGGAAUUUGCUUAAAUUCUCUCUCUAUUUGAGAGUCAAUAAUUCCAGUACAAUUAACUAUCGCCUAAGACCUUUCUCCUUUCCCAGUUAUUAACUAACAGUUUAAUAAUUUCACUAGAAAUGCCACUUACAAUAAAAGACAUGUUGUAAACGC